This 522-nucleotide ribosomal RNA is filed under the name uncultured Cryptococcus. RNAcentral describes it as "eukaryotic LSU rRNA". The stretch from base 186 to 339 matches the Rfam family "5.8S ribosomal RNA". Lineage: Eukaryota; Fungi; Basidiomycota; Tremellomycetes. The record is from RNAcentral.
AAGUCAUAACAAGGUUUCCGUAGGUGAACCUGCGGAAGGAUCAUUAAUGAUGCCCUCGAAGUCUUUGGACUGGUAGGGUUUGUGUCGGUCUCUUCGGAGUCGACCUUAUCUCACACACCGUGAACUGUGGCUUCGGCCAUUUACACAAACUGUUAGUAAUGAAUGUAAUAUCAUAACAAACAUAAAACUUUUAACAACGGAUCUCUUGGCUCUCGCAUCGAUGAAGAACGCAGCGAAACGCGAUAAGUAAUGUGAAUUGCAGAAUUCAGUGAAUCAUCGAAUCUUUGAACGCACCUUGCGCCCUUUGGUAUUCCGAAGGGCAUGCCUGUUUGAGUGUCAUGAAACCUCACCCCACUUGGGUUUUUGCCCGAGCGGUGGUGGAUUGGGCGUCUGCCGUUAAUGGCUCGCCUGAAAAGCAUAAGCAACUUUGGAUGUAAUACGUUUCAUCCUUUCGAGUGGCUGACAGCCCAACAUAUCUCAUGAUCUGGCCUCAAAUCAGGUAGGGCUACCCGCUGAACUUAA